RNAcentral lists this long non-coding RNA (4861 nucleotides) under Homo sapiens (human). RNAcentral describes it as "HSALNT0249377". The record is from RNAcentral. Lineage: Eukaryota; Metazoa; Chordata; Mammalia; Primates; Hominidae.
UCAUCAGUUAAGGCGGGGCAGGGCCUUUUCACUUCUUUUAUGAUUCUUCAGUUACUUCAGGCCAUCUGGGUGUAUAUGUGCAAGUCACAGGGGAUGCGAUGGCUUGGCUUGGGCUCAGAGGCCUGACAUUCCUGCCUUCUUAUAUUAAUAAGAAAAAUAAAAUAGUGUUGAAGUCUUGGGGUGGCGAAAAUUUUUGGGGGUUGGUAUGGAGAGAGAAUGGACGAUGUUUCUCAGGGCUGCUUCAAGUGGGAUUGGGGCAGCGUGGGAACCUAGAGUGGGAGAGAUUAAGCUGAAGGAAGAUUUUGUAGAAAGGGGUGAUAUUGUGGGGUUGUUAGAAGAAACAUUUGUCAUUUCGAAUUAUUGGUGAUGGCCUGGAUACAGUUUUGUAUGAAUUGAAAAACUAAAUGGAAUAAGAGAAGGAGAAAAACAGGUAUAAAAGGUCCAAGAAUUGGGAGGACCUAGGACAUCUGAUUAGAGAGUGCCUAAGGAGAUUCAGCAUAGUCCUGCCAGCAAAGAUUAUUUAUUUACUUCAAGAGUUAAGAGUGGCGGUUUGGGGAUAGCACGAGGAGAUAUCAGCUGUGAUGGCUUGGAGAAACAGUGUAAACUGGCAGUGUAAACAAGAGCAGGGCAUGUAUGAGUAGUUGAGAAUGGAGAAUAGGAGUAUGACUAGACAGAAAAUAGUAGGGAUGACAAGUUUUUUUGGGGGCACAGUCUAAGUUGAUCCAGUGUCUGGAAUGAGACUGGGGCCUAAUAAAAAGGAGCAUCUAUACAGGAACUUAAAUGGGCUGUACCUUGUAGCAUUCUGAGGACAGGUCUGACUUCUGAGAAGGGAAAGUGGUAAAAGUAUUGUCCAGUUCUUUUUAAGUUGGUGGCUGAGCUUGGUGAGGUGUGUUUUUAAAAGACCUUUAGUCUGUUCUACUUUUCUUAAAGACAGAGGACUAUAAGGGAUAUAAAGGUUUCACUGAAUAUUAAGAGCCUGAAAAACUGCUUGGCUGAUUUGACUAAUAAAGACUGGUCUGUUAUCAGACUGUAUAGAGGUGGGAAGGCUAAACUGAGGAAUUAUGUCUGACAGAAGGGAAGAAAUGACUGCGGUGGCCUCAGACCCUGUAGGAAAGGUCUCUACCUAUCUAGUGAAAGCGUCUACUUAGACUAAGAGGUAUUUUAGGUUUUGUGACUCGGGGCAUGUUGAGUAAAGCUAAUAUGACAGUCCUGGGCAGGGGCAAAUCCUUGAACUUGAUGUGUAGGGAAGGGAGGGGGCCUGAAUAAUCCUUGAGGAGUAGUAGAAUAGCAAAUUUGCUAGUCCUGGGCAGGGGCAAAUCCCCGGGCUUGAUGUGUAGGGAAGGGAGGGGGCCUGAAUAAUCCUUGAGGAGUAGUAGAAUAGCAGAUGGAACACUGAGAAGUUAUUUCCUUGAGGAUAGAUUUCUACAAUGGAAAGGAAAUGAGAGGUUCUAAGAGGUGGGCUAGUGGCUUGUACUAUAGCAUAGCCUGCCUUUGCUGGUGUGUGGCAAUUAGGCCUGGUGGAACUGCCAUCAAUAAAUCAAGCGUGAUCAGGGUGAGGAACAGGAAAGAAGGAAAUACGGGGAAAUGCGGUGAAUGUCAGGUGGAUCAGAGAGAUACAGUCAUGGGGGUCAGGUGUGGUAUCAGGAAUAAUGUGGGAGGCCAGAUUGAAGUCCGGGCCAGGAACAAUGGUAAUUGUGGGACUUAACAAAGAGUGAGUACAGCUGAAGGAGCCGGGGAGCAGAAAGUAUAUGCAUCAGGUAUGAGGAAGAAAAUAGAUUUUGGAAGUUAUGAGAAAUGUAGAGAGUGAGUUGAGCAUAGUUUGUGAUUUUUAGGGCCUCUAAAAGUAUUAAAGCAGCGGCAGCCGCUGCACGCAGACAUGAGGGCUAGGCUAAAACAGUAAGGUCAAGUUGUUUGGACAGAAAGGCUAUAGGGUGCGGUCCUGGCUCUUGUGUAAGAAUUCUGACCACAUUAACCAUGCCUAGGAAGGAAAGGAGUUGUUGUUUUGUAAGGAAUUGAGGUUUGGGAGAUUAAUCGGACACAAUCAACAGGGAGAACACCUGUGUUUUUAUGAAUAAUUAUGCUGAGAUAGGUAACAGAUGAGGAUGAAAUUUGGGCUUGACUGAAGUAAUGGGGGCUGUCUGUGAGGCCUUGGGGCAGUACAGCCCAGGUAAUUUGCUGAGCCUAAUGGGUGUUAGGGUCAGUCCAAGUGAAAGCAAAGAGAGGCUGGGAUGAUGGGUGCAAAGGAAUAGUAAAGAAAGCAUUUUUGAGAUCCAGAACAGAAUAAUGGAUUGUGGAGGGAGGUAUCGAGGAUAGGAGAGUAUAUGGGUUUGGCACCAUAGGGUGGAUAGGCAAAACAAUUUGGUUGAUAAGGCAUAGAUCCUGAACUAACUUGUAAGGCUUGUCUGGUUUUAGGACAGGUAAAAUGGGGGAAUUGUAAGGAGAGUUUAUAGGCUUUAAAAGGCCAUGCUGUAGCAGGCGAGUGAUAACAGGCUUUAAUCCUUUCAAAGCAUGCUGUGGGAUGGGAUAUUGGCAUUGAGUGGGGUAAGGGUGAUUAGGUUUUAAGGAGAUGGUAAGGGGUGCAUGAUCAGUCGCCAAGGAGGGAGUAGAGGUAUCUUAUACUUGUGGGUUAAGGUGGGGGAAUACAAGAGGAGGAUGCAAAGGAGGCUUUGGAUUGGGAAGAAGGGCGGCAAUGAGAUGCAGCUGUAAUCCAGGAAUAGUCAGGGAAGCAGAUAAUUUAAAGUGUCUCGGCCUAAUAAGGGAACUGGGCAGGUGGGGAUAACUAAAAGGAGUGCUUAAAAGAGUAUUGUCUAAGUUGGCACCAGAGUUGGGGAGUUUUAAGAGGUUUAGAAGCCUGGCCGUCAAUACCUACAACAGUUACGGAGGCAAGGGAAACAGGACCUUGAAAAGAAGGUAAUGUGGAGUGGGUAGCCUCCAUAUUGAUUAAGGGGACGGACUUACCUUGCACUGUGAGAGUUACUUGAAGCUCGGCGUCUGUGAUGGUCUACGGGGCUUUCGAGGUGGUCGGGCAGUGUCAGUCUUCAGCUGCUAAGCCGAGAAGGAGUCAGUCAGAGAGCCUUGGGCCAGAGUUCCAGGGGCUCUGGGAGUGGCUGCCAGGUGAGUUGAACAGUCCGAUUUCCAGUGGGGUCCCGCACAGAUGGGACACGGCUUAGGAGGAAUCCUGGGCUGCAGGCAUUCCUUGGCCUGGUGGUCAGAUUUCUGGCACUUGUAGCAAGCUCCUGGGGGAGGAGGUUCUGGAGGAACGCCUGGCUGCUGCGGUUCAGGCGUUUGGAAGUUCUUGUGUGCUGGAGAUGUGGCUGGGGUUUGUCUCACAGUAGAGGCAAGGAAUUGCAACUUUUUUUUUAUUAUUGUACACCUUGAAGGUGAGGUUAAUUAAGUCCUGUUGUGGGGUUUGAGGGCCAGAUUCCAACUUUGGGAGUUUUAUUUAAUGUCGGGAGCGGAUUGGGUAAUAAAAUAUAUAUUGAGAAUAAGAUGGCCUUUUGACCUUUUAGGGUCUAGGGCUGUAAAGCGUCUCAGGGUUGCUGCCGAAUGAGCCAUGAACUGGGCUGGGUUUUUAUAUUUGAUGAAAAAGAGCCUAAACGCUUCUGAUUUGGAAUAAAGAAAAAGGAGCAUUAACCUUGACUAUGCCUUUGGCUCCAGCCACGUUUUUAAGAGUAAAUUGCUGGGCAGGUGGGGGAGGGAUACUCAUGGAACGAAAUUGUAAGCUGGACCAGGUGUGAGGAGGGGAGGCGAUAAAAAGAUUAUAGGGUGGAGGAGCGGAGGCUGAGGAAGAAUCGGGACCUAGCUUGGCCUGUUCCAUAAAAUGUAUACCACCAAAAAGAAAAAUUCUGACUGCAGGGAAGCAGUACACUCUGUAGACCCCGGAGAAAAAUAAAUCACCAUGAGAUUUGACAACAAUCAAUUUUUCACUGCACGCUAAUCAAGCAGAUAGAAAGAAGGCCAUGGUAAGGAAAUCAAGAAUGUUCCUUGUAGCAAUUAAAUGACAAAACUGGAACUUGAACCUUAAUCUUCUGACUCAAUGUCUGGGAUUCUUUCCAUGAUCCUACAUUACGUAAGACAAAAAUGGUCUAGUAUCUAAAGGCAAACAGUUUCUAUUAUGAGGAAAGAAUUAGGGAGUUAAUUUUUUAAACUGCCCUUCCGCCUCUGAAAGAUUUGAAAGAGGAAGCCACAAGCAAGCUGGGAAUGUUUCAUUUAUCUUAUCUCUGACAAGGAAUAAGAAGUAUUUUGGAAUUCCCUAGAGCCCAGCAUGUCUAUUAUGCACUGACAGAGCUUCCUGUAAUUAAAGGCUAUAUUACAUUUGGAUGGAAGUGACACACUCCCUUCUGGAAGCCUAUAGCCAUAUGCAGCCUUUAUUUAAUAAAAAAGAAAUCAGAAAUCAAUUGAAAGUGAAAUUUGUUAGGAUUAGGAUGUUAAAUAAAACCAUGUUCGGGGCAGAGUUGACAAAAUCUUUCCCUCUGAGUUGGUACGAAGUUAAGAAGCUUCUACAAUCAUACAAAAAAAAAUUUAUUUUAGGAGUAAGUGAAAAAGAGAGAUUAUUUGUUGGUUUGAGUGGAAGACUACAGAACUUUUCAAAAGAUUUGGUGAGCAGAUGCUUUUAAAAGCUCUUACCAGCUCAGUCUUUACUACUAGUAAUUUCAAACAAAGCAGGAGGUCAGAGCAUUGAUGUUAUUUUCCUCCCUUUUUCUAUAGUCCUCUUGGCUAACCACUGAUAGAGAACAGCCUGGAGCAGCCUUGAGAAGCCCCUGUGGUGAAAACACAUCAAUGUCAGCUUUAAACUGGGGGCUUGUUUUAAGCGUAAACUAAUUUUUCCAGUUUCUCCCUUACUUUACCUUUUCAUAACCAC